This is a long non-coding RNA of Neopsephotus bourkii (Bourke's parrot), 984 nucleotides long. RefSeq lists it as uncharacterized. The record is from RefSeq and is a predicted model, not a curated record. Lineage: Eukaryota; Metazoa; Chordata; Aves; Psittaciformes; Psittacidae. The transcript has 3 exons.
CUGGGAGGGAAGACUGGAAAUUCAGAUCCUUGGUAUGUAUGGAGUCCUGAGCAGUGACUAACCAAAUGUAGUGAGUCAUCUACUCAGGAGCAAGGAUGGUGCAUUCACACUGCCACUUCCAGAGCAGUGUGCCUGAAUUUCCUCAAUUAAUGCAGUGAAUAAAUGAGAUCUGCUCGGUACAGACCUAUGUAUUUAUUAGGCUCCAUGAACAGGCACAUAAUAAUAAGAGUGAAUCAAGCAGAAGGUGUGGUUAAUGAACACCAAGAAUGAGAACCUGCAUUUUCUGUGCAGCUCAGUCAUAAAGCAGAAUCUUUCAUUCCAUAAAACAGAAAGCACCCUGAGAACGAUGCAACUGUUCCACAAGCCCUUUAGCUUUCACCCACACCCCCAAGCAGCUCCGAGGAGCAAAUGAUGCUAUAUAAAACAGCACCAAGUUUUAAAUAGCUUCUCACUCCCCCCCAUCCUGCUACUUCAUUUAUUCCACAAGAAUUCUAACAAUUCCUAGGAGAGUGCCACCACACGAUCCUGUGCUCUGUGUGCCCACUGUUCUUUGAACACUACACAGCUGCAUACAAUGUUAUACACUAAGGGAUGCUUCCCACGCUGAACCUCUUUUGUUCUCCUUGUCUAUCAGAUGCUAGUGCAGGAAGACAUACCAAUCUGUCUCAGGACAGAAAGCCCAGUCCUCAGCACACCAUGUUCAUUGCUGUUUCCUCUGCACUUUGAGCAGGUUUACCCUCUCAAGGCAUGUCAUCUGUACCAGCUGUGAAGCCCUCACCCAUCAGUGUUAGGAGCAGAGCCUGCUUGUGGUCCUCCAUGUCCUUGAGAGACAGCCUGAGCUGCAGCCCCAUGCUCCUGCACAAGGAGCAGCAGCACAACAUGGUGAGGAACUUGGGGACCUGCCAGCUGAAGGGAACUGCCAGUCUCCACCAGGCUCUUGGCAAACUCCUAAUGUGGUGAAAUCCUGCAGUCAAGAGGUGGGGG